ACUGAAUUCUGAUGGGCUACCUGGAACUGGCUUAGGGUGGGAUUACAUACGCCUCCUGCCACAUCGGAUUUCCUUCUAUUUUGUCAGGGGUGGCAUCAUCCAGUGAGUAAAUCUGUUAGUGAUCUCCCUCGCAUAACCUAGGAAUUCUCUCAGGAUCCAUUUUUCCAGUAGUUUUGAGAAAGCGACCAACAACAGCAAAGAGAGUAGUUCUUCCAUUCCAAGAGCAGCCAUCUUGCUUAACUGACAAACUAGAGAGAACUGCAAGGACUCAGUACAUCCCUGGCACAGUCCAUUCUCUCUCACAGCAUAUUGUAUGAGACUGUGUGAGUGCUGCUUCCACGCUACACUAAAAACCCAUGGUCCCUGCAUUAUUUGAGCAACUGACAAGCUUCUGAAGUUCAGGUUCGCGAACGCUGAGAGCAGCACCCAGUGGAUUUGUGGCAGGCAUUUCUGCAUUAAAUGAUAUCAGAGUGGACACAGGAGAAAGAAAAGUCUAUUGUUGUGUCCACCAUAAAAAUAGACGUGUGGAUGAAAUGAUCUUGGAGCAGAAUCGACUAGAGAGGGUGAACUUGGGCAGAAGAAAUCAACUCGGACAAGCCAGAGUCCCUGACAAGGUCGUGAGGUCUCAAGCCAAUGGGAUGACAUAAAAAGAUUUUUGAUGAACCAAGCUGGCUGGUGUCGCCUCAGUUUGUCUAAAUUACCAAGGACCGCUGGAAUUUCCCUGGGAAUAUGUUUCGGGAAAGGUCAGAAACUCUUCAGUCGUCUUCACGCUUCCACUCAGUAGCAACGUUUUUGCACACUCAUUGACUAUCAACUGGUUGUCUAUGACUCAAAUUACAUAAUGAAUCCAGCACAUAAAUUAUUUACUCAGAUUUAAUGCCAGCAACUGUUAUCUUUGUAUUUUUUUCCCCUCUGCCAGCUAAUCUGGCUCAUUUCAUUGGAAUUUUGGUCAUGCCCAUUCUCCUUCUGCACUAAAUUAACUCCAUAACGUAGUAUAAACAGAACAAGCUUGUGUGUGAUAUGCUUAACUGUUAAUUUACCUAAUUAAACUAAUUCAAUUAAAUCAUUUACAUCUUUUUGGUAACAUGCCAGUUGAUACCACAGCAGAAGUGGGAUGUUUCAGAAGAUGAUUGUUCAGCAAAUGAAUGGAAAAAAAAAUAAAAGGAAAACAAAAUGAGACAACCGUCCAAAUCUCUUGGCUUGAAAAUUAAAUGAUACUGAAAAAAUGCAGCUUUCACGGGGCACUGUGAUUAGAUAUUUUUCUGAAAUCAAUUUUCUCUACAAAUUGGUAUUUUAACAGAGUGAUCACAAUCUAUUGUACAAAAUAUUUUAAACACUAUUUGUACAUUCACAUAUUUGGUAUGUUUAAGUAAAGUGUGCUUGUUCCCACA
Molecule: long non-coding RNA, 1391 nt
Filed under: Homo sapiens (human)
Lineage: Eukaryota; Metazoa; Chordata; Mammalia; Primates; Hominidae
Description: lncRNA oncogene in head and neck cancer 2
Source: RNAcentral